Molecule: unclassified non-coding RNA, 336 nt
Filed under: soil metagenome
Description: partial contains 5.8S ribosomal RNA, internal transcribed spacer 2, and large subunit ribosomal RNA
Rfam family: 5.8S ribosomal RNA (bases 1-120)
Source: RNAcentral
GAUGAAGAACGUAGCGAAAUGCGAAAAGUAAUGUGAAUUGCAGAAUUCAGUGAAUCAUCGAAUCUUUGAACGCACAUUGCGCCCGCUGGUACUCCGGCGGGCACGCCUGUCCGAGCGUCAUUUCAACCAUCAAGCCCCAGGCUUGUGUUGGGGACCUGCGGCUGCCGCAGGCCCUGAAAACCAGUGGCGGGCUCGCUGUCACACCGGGCGUAGUAGAUUUUAUCUCGCUCAGGGCGUGCUGCGGGUUCCGGCCGUUAAAAAGCCUUUUUUACCCAAGGUUGACCUCGGAUCAGGUAGGAAGACCCGCUGAACUUAAGCAUAUCAAUAAGCGGAGGA